Molecule: long non-coding RNA, 1006 nt
Organism: Parus major (Great Tit)
Lineage: Eukaryota; Metazoa; Chordata; Aves; Passeriformes; Paridae
Exons: 3
Source: RefSeq, a predicted model, not a curated record
AGGUGUGGCCACAGCAGUGCUAAGUACAAGAUCACUGCUGGAGAGGUUCUUUUUAGAGAGAAAUAGUAAUUGAAUUGCAAAAAAAUAUAUCAUAGCCCUAGAGCUAUUUUCCACUGCUGAUAAAGUCUGCUCAUUGUUGAUGUUUCUCUUGACUCAAUCCUCAUGUAUCUGAAUUUUUCUACAGUCAUGCCUUCUGAAGAGACUGAGAAGCAGAGAUGACUUAUGGUAGGGCAAUAGCAUUUGGAACACACUGUGGCUGGAGUAUGUGUGAGCAGAAAGAAGCAGUAUCCAUCACUUAAACACUGUCUAUCUGACUUGGUUUAUCUCUCACCUGUUAUAACACUUCAAGGAUCGUGGUUGCUAUCAAAUUGCUUUCCAGAGCACCAGGUUUUGUUGUUGACUGAUGACCCAACAGAACUGUUUUAUUCUACCACAUACCCACAUGUCUGCUGCUGAAGGAUUUCUGAAGACUUCAUGUCACAGUAGAGCUGUCUAAUAGAUACCUUCUACCACACAUUUUUAGGGUGAACUCUUUGAAACAUAGCACAUUAGCAGCAACCUUCAGAGGAACAUUCCUUUGAAGCAGCACGUUCCCCAUAAUUUCUGUUCUGUUCAUGCCUUCUCUGCCCCUUAGCCACAGCACAUUCUGCUGUAUCUCAUGCCAACAUUGCUCAUUCUGAUAUAUUCCUUUAGUAGAUUGGAGGUAAUUCAGUUCUGGGCCUUAGCUUUUUAAAUGUCACAAAGGUGUCAUGAAUUUGUUCUGUGCCUCAAAAAGAGCACAGUCAUCAGGAAAAAAAAAAAAAUAGGAAACAAUCAAACUGAGAAGACCAAAGACAAUGCAACAACACAAGAAAAUAUGUCCUAAAAUGUCUGUAUCUACUACCUGCAUUUUCCAACAGCACAUCUGUGAUACAGAUCUUUUUCCCAGUGGUUUACAUUUGCCAAGCAGUAAAAGUGUACUUUUUCCAACUGUUUGAAUAUGCAGGCCCACUCAUCUUAAAAAUAA